CCACGAUCUGGACGUUGUAGCCGGACCCGAAGAAGAGCACGUUCGCGUUGUGGAGGGCGGGGUCAACGACGGCCGCCACGGCCGGGUCGACCUGGCCGCCGGAACCAUACGCGGAGGCAGCGACGAGCCGGCGGGAGGAGGAGAGGUGGAGGGGGCGGCGAGAAGGGGUUGGGAGAUGGGGUGGGAAUCGAGGAGAAGGGCGGAGGGAGGGAAUGGGGAGGGUUUUGGCGAAGGGGAAUUGGAUGAGGUUAGCGGUGGACGCAGCCAUUCGCGGAAGCUUUUUGGGCCGAGGGAGGAGGGUGGAGAGAGGGUGAGCGAUACGAAGCUUAUCCGCUUAUAUCGUCAUA
RNAcentral lists this long non-coding RNA (347 nucleotides) under Musa acuminata (dwarf banana). RNAcentral's name for it is "long non-coding RNA (MACU_LNC000308)". Lineage: Eukaryota; Viridiplantae; Streptophyta; Magnoliopsida; Zingiberales; Musaceae. The record is from RNAcentral.